RNAcentral lists this transfer RNA (71 nucleotides) under Tannerella forsythia. RNAcentral describes it as "tRNA-Gln". It matches the Rfam family "tRNA". Rfam says of the family: Transfer RNA (tRNA) molecules are approximately 80 nucleotides in length. RNAcentral also lists the same sequence under 5 other names. Lineage: Bacteria; Pseudomonadati; Bacteroidota; Bacteroidia; Bacteroidales; Tannerellaceae. The record is from RNAcentral.
UGUCUCAUGGUGUAAUGGUAGCACAACAGGUUUUGGUUCUGUUUGUCCAAGUUCGAAUCUUGGUGAGACAA